RNAcentral lists this ribosomal RNA (420 nucleotides) under uncultured bacterium. Its description in RNAcentral is "partial 16S ribosomal RNA". It matches the Rfam family "Bacterial small subunit ribosomal RNA", at positions 360 to 772 of the family's 1533-position model. The record is from RNAcentral.
AAUCUUCCACAAUCGACGAAAGUCUGAUGAAGCAACGUCGCGUGUGUGAAGAAGGUUUUCGGAUCGUAAAGCUCUGUUGUGAGGGACGAACAAGUACAGGAGUCACUGUCUGUACCUUCACGGUACCUCACAACAAAGCCACGGCUAACUACGUCACAGCAGCCGCGGUAAUACGAAGGUGGCAAGCGUUGUCCGGAAUUAUUGGGCGUAAAGCGCGCGCAGGCGUUACUUUAAGUCUGAUGUGAAAACCCACGGCUCAACCGUGGAGGGUCAUAGGAAACUGGAGGACUUGAGUACAGAAGAGGAAAGCGGAAUUCCACGUGUAGCGGUGAAAUGCGUAGAGAUGUGGAGGAACACCAGUGGCGAAGGCGGCUUUCAGGUCUGUAACUGACGCUGAGGCGCGAAAGCGUGGGGAGCAAA